Molecule: long non-coding RNA, 5060 nt
Filed under: Medicago truncatula (barrel medic)
Lineage: Eukaryota; Viridiplantae; Streptophyta; Magnoliopsida; Fabales; Fabaceae
Description: long non-coding RNA (MTRU_LNC000170)
Rfam family: tRNA (bases 2514-2584)
Source: RNAcentral
UGGCAGGAAGAUCACUUCCAGUGGAAGGAGGGAUUUGGACCAAGUUGCUGGACGUAUUGUUAUUGCUCCUUGAUCUGUAAACUGCUUCUAGGUUGAGUUUUGUGUUUUGAGAUAUGUGAUGAUAACAAAGAUAAUGUGCAAUUUUGAUUUUAGUCAUUGAGUGGCUUAUGUAUUAGACUUGUUCAAUGCUAUGUUGCUUUUUAGUCUUUUAGUUUGUCUUAUCACAUUUUAUUCACUGGAUUUUUUUGGAAUUUCACUCUUAAAAUUCUUGUCUGUUAAGUUUGCUUUACAAAAUUAUACCUAUCUAUCGUCUUGUAAUGUUAUAACUACACCGCAUGUUCCCCGUUACAACUAGCAUUUGCAUAUUUUCAAACAUAUGACAUUUGCUUAUUAUCAAGGCUGCCCUUAAUGUCAUGCAUAAUUUCCUUCACUUUGUGCCUCUACUUGCAGUUUUACUUAGUAGCACCUCUGCUCCCAACCUUUCAUUUUACAUUUGGUAAUUCCUAAAACUCUAUCUUGCCCAACGCCCACCAUCAAAAUUGGCACCAGGAGUGUUUGAAUCAAAGUCUCCGGCCAACCCAUGAUUUGAAUCUAUCUCUCCUAGAUUGGAUAACUGGGAUCCGUUAUGGUAUUGUUAUUAACCGGGUACCGCAGCUGAGGUUCAGUAGGAUAUCUUAGAUUGCAAAACUUUUAAUUUGAUUUAUUAGGUACAAGGCUUAUUCUGGGGUGAAUAGUUACAAACAAUAAAAAGGAUCUGCAGAUAUCCAACACCACCACAACUAACAACAAAACUACAUAUAGCAACAAAUGCAACUCACGCACUAAACAGAACACAAAACUGAAGCUACAAGCUACAACUGGGUGCCCACACUUUUGAAAGGAAACCAUUAGAUUAUAAGAAGCUCAGCAAUAUAGCUGCAGUUAUAAGAGCUAGUCUGCCUCUUCAAAAGACCACACCUGAAACUACACACCACAGUCCGAACAACUUAACUCCAAAGAAACAUCCCUGACACUUAAAAAAUAAACCUCUGCGAACACUGGAAUAAAAAAGGGAUUAAUGUGUCCUGCUAAGCGGCUCCUACUAAACUGAUAGCACCUUCCUUCCUCUUCAAAUACACACAAAUGAAAAGCUAUAAUCACCAAUGAAGUCCAGAAGGAAAAAAAGAAGGGGUGAAGAUGCAGCCCUUCAAAAUACAAGAAGUACGAAAAAGGCAAAAGUACAACCAAAACAAACACAGUCCAAUUCUAACUAAAUGACACUGCCAAAGCCACUUGAGUAAUCUAAAGUCUAUACAAAUGAUGCUAAAUGGUUUUGAUGACAUGCUUAAUUUCUAUUGUAACUGAAGAGCUUUUCAUUUUAAUCACUUCAUUCCUUUAGAUGCAACUAUUUGCUUGUUGGGAGUAGCAUUUGAGGUCCCCAAGUUUUUAUUUUGAGUAUUCAUUUAAUUAUUCUGUGAAUUCAAAGCUACUACAACAGAAAUUGUGGACAAACACUUGAGUUAUAAUCCAUUAUCAACUUUAUAUGCAGUAUUUUUGAGACACUUUUCAAAUCAACCAAAAUGAAUGAAGCUAAUUGUAUUUUGUAGUUACUUUAUUCUCUUUCUUUUAGCUUAGAACCCUAGUUUCUUAUAUUUUUCUUUGUUGUAGCAUUUAGAGCCUAAUUGAGAGUUGAACUCAAGAAAGCAUCUACAUAUAGGGGUAUUUCCAAAGUGUCUCAAAGACAUUAUAGAGGUGAUAAUAGAUAAUAACCUAAGAGCAACUUUAACGGACAAUGUCAUCAUCCAUUUUAUGGUUUUUAUUAAAGUUUGCUGUUUGAGAGAUCUCCGACACAACAGUAAAAAAAUGUAUUAUAUAUGCGUAAAUGAGUUAAAUUGUUGAAAUUCAAUGUGAGUUUCUUAAUAUUGUCCAUUGGAGUAAAAAAAAAAAGAAUGAAUUAUUUUAUGAUAUGGCUCAAUGAGAUACAAAAUAAUCUUUAAAGAAGAUCACCAUUGUAGUUGCUCUAAAGACUAAAAUAGAAUCUAUUGUCCGUAAAUUCUUCACCUAAAAUAUUCUAACUUAACUCUUUGACAUAAACUCGGGCACUACAAUGAGAUGUUAAAAGAUAUCUUUCAACUUAAUCAAAGUAUGUCCUCGAAUCCAACUCUAAAAUGCAACAUUGUUAAAUCUCUGACAGCUAUGUCAUAACAAAAACCUUCUUUUGGAAAAUGACAUGUCUUCUCGGAGAGUCUUCCAAAUUUCCAAUGCACUCUAUCCGGAACACCAAAUGAUUCCUUCAAUUACUUCAUAACAUUACAACAAUUUUAAUAAACCAGUCAACCAUAUGAGCUGUUGAAAUUGGCAAAAUAAUCUCCAAGAAAAUCAUUUGGGACAAAAAAACAUUCAAAUCAGCGCAUUCCUCCAAUUUUGAUAUUAAGAAAUUUGGACAGUUAAGAUUUGAGAAGUUUCCUUUGUCAUAUUAUCAUUAUAGUAUCUAGAUGUUAAAUAUCUAACAACAUUUUGAAUAGAACAACAAAGCACCAGUGGUCUAGUGGUAGAAUAGUACCCUGCCACGGUACAGACCCGGGUUCGAUUCCCGGCUGGUGCAAAUUUGAGGGAGCUAUGAUGAUAAUAUCUGUGGUGUUCGGUAACAUCACUUCUCCUGAAACAUUGGAUGAAUACCAUACCCCUGAGCUCCUUUUUUAUUUUUGCAAAUUUCAAGUCGUGUAUUUUUUUGUUGUAUAUUAUUGUUAAUUCUGUUGAAUUAACUAACUGUUCAAAAGAAGAAGCAUGUCCUGUUUUCGAGUCAUCCCUUGUGCAUGGUGGAAAUGGCUUCGUCGCAGCAAUGGUAUGUAUAGAGGAUAUGCCAGGACUAGAGUGCUCCUUGGUUUUAAGGUUCAUGAGCUACGUGCUCCUUGGUUUAAGGUUCAUGAGCUACAUUUAUGUGGCGAUCCUAGUGUUUUGCAUAUUGUUCGAAAGACAUAUCAAGGUACAAAAGAUGAGUUGUGCGAGCAACAAUAUGAGAGGUUCAAACAGUUGGUGGUAGAAGCCAAGACACUGCUUGGAAAGGCAUGUCAAGAUUUAGGAGAUGAGUUGUGUGAGUAAACAUUGUGAGAACUUUGCCACCAGAAAUUUGUUCAAUGAUCAAAUGGGGACGGGCCUGAACCUCAACAUUCAAAGGGUGAUUUUCAGUAGCCUUUCGAAGUACAAUGGUGGCAAAAUUCUUACUGUUCCAGCAAAUUGCAGGAAGAGCUGGUAGAAGAGGAUGCCUUUAUCCCGAUGGACCGCUACUACCUUGCAUUUGGAUGAUAUGGAUUAUUUGAUCAAGUGUUUGAAACAGCCCUUUGACCAUGUUACGACGGUUGACAUUUUUCCUUUUUACGAGCAUGUAGAAUUGUUUGCCGGCAACUUCCUAAUAUGACAUUCAGCUAACUUUUAGAAAAUUUGGUAAAAAUUGCUGUUUGGAUGGGUCAUACUUCUUGUGUCCACAGGAUCACAUAUACAAAACUGCUAAUAUGUUAGAUGACUUAGAUCAAAUUCAAGGGCUAUGUAACAUUAGUCACAUUUGCAACACUGUUCAGUCAAAAGGUCCCAUCUCCCAGGAAGCAUGCCUAAGAAUUAUUCAAGACUCUUGGACCUUGAGAGUAGACAUCAAGUAUUAUUGUCAUAUUUGUGGUUAUCAAACUAUUUUGAUGAGGAAAAUUUUCCAUAUGCAAAGAAAGCCGAGGCAAUGGCGCCAGACAAUGCUUGCUUACUUGGUUAAUCUCUUGUCAAAGCGGGUUGGAAACCUGAAUCAAGGAAUAGAGGAGAACCAAAAGCUGGAAAAAGUGAAUAGCAAACAUAAUUAAGAAGGAUCUUGGAUAUUCAAGAGUCAAGACCACAGUCUCCUGUUAAAUUAUAUGACAAGUGUACCUUUCGAUGUAUAGCUUCUUAUUUAUCAAAUUUUUCUGUGUGGAAAUUAGAACAUUUCCUUCAUUUCAAAUAAACUCCGGCUGGUUUUACUAUCCGUGCAUAUGCAUUCAUUGUCUACUUGAAAGACUUCUGGCUAGUCAUGCUUGCACUUCUUUUACAGAAUCGAUAUUUCCAUUGGUUCAUUAUUCCGGCUUAUAAAUUAUGUAUUUUUAUUCCUGAUUAUGUAUUUUUUUUUCCUGUUAUUCAGGAAAAGGCAGGAAAAUUCAUAUCGCUUAAAGAAAAUAAUUUCAUAAUAUGAUGACUUUGGAGGUAAAGGAAGAACAGUGGUGCCAUUGCUCAUCAGUCAUCAAAUUUGCGACCACAAAUUCCUGAGCGUUUGAUGUGGCUAAUGAGACUCAAAAUAAUCUUUAAAAAAAGAUCAUUAAAGUUGCUCUAAAGACAAAGAAACUCAAUUACUAUACGUUUGAUGUGGACUAUGUCAGAGCUGGUGAGUUUCUUGUGUUUGAGAGAUUUGUCAAAACUUCUGAGGAACAUUUUUUUAUCAAUUUUUUCAUUGAAAAUUGCAAUGUGUUUUUUGUGCUGCAGCUUCCAUUGCAAGGAAGAUCUACUUGAGGGGUGGACUCGGUGUUGGUGCAUUCCAGAGGAUUUAUGGUGGAAGCCAGAGGAAUGGCAGUCGCCCACCUCAUUUCUGCAAGAGCAGUGGUUCCAUUGCUCGCCACAUUCUUCAACAGUUUAGCAGUUGUUCAUGCUAUUAUGCAUCCGUGUGUUUUAUUUAUAUUGUGAUUAGGAUUUGCUUAGAAAUAGUUUCUGCAUCGUCCCUUUGUAUCAUGUUUUUAACAUUGGUUUUUUUUGUAUCACAGUGGCAGGAAGAUCACUUCCAGCGGAAGGAGGGAUUUGGACCAAGUUGCUGGACGUAUUGUUAUUGCUCCUUGAUCUGUAAACUGCUUCUAGGUUGAGUUGUGUUUUGAGAUAUGUGAUGAUAACAAAGAUAAUAUGCAAUUUUGAUUUUAGUCAUUGAGUGGCUUAUGUAUUAGACUUGUUCAAUGCUAUGUUGCUUUUUAGUCUUUUAGUUUGUCUUGUCACAUUUUAUUCACUGGAUUUUUUGGAAUUUCACCCUUAAAUUGUUGUUCAUUAAGUUUGCAUUGCAAACUUAUACCUAUCUAUCGUCUUGU